Molecule: ribosomal RNA, 253 nt
Filed under: uncultured bacterium
Lineage: Bacteria
Description: partial 16S ribosomal RNA
Rfam family: Bacterial small subunit ribosomal RNA
Source: RNAcentral
UACGUAGGGGGCAAGCGUUGUCCGGAAUUAUUGGGCGUAAAGCGCGCGCAGGCGGUUCGUUAAGUCUGAUGUGAAAGGGCACGGCUUAACCGGGGAAAUGCAUUGGAAACUGGGGGGCUUGAGUGCAGGAGAGGAGGGGGGAAUUCCCGGUGUAGAGGUGAAAUUCGUAGAGAUCGGGAGGAACAUCAGUGGCGAAGGCGCCCAUCUGGACGGUAACUGACGCUGAGACGCGAAAGCGUGGGGAGCAAACAGG